This 497-nucleotide ribosomal RNA is filed under the name uncultured bacterium. RNAcentral's name for it is "partial 16S ribosomal RNA". It matches the Rfam family "Bacterial small subunit ribosomal RNA", at positions 28 to 507 of the family's 1533-position model. The record is from RNAcentral.
GAUGAACGCUGGCGGCGUGCCUAAUACAUGCAAGUCGAGCGAACGGACGAGAAGCUUGCUUCUCUGAUGUUAGCGGCGGACGGGUGAGUAACACGUGGAUAACCUACCUAUAAGACUGGGAUAACUUUGGGAAACCGGAGCUAAUACCGGAUAAUAUUUUGAACCGCAUGGUUCAAAAGUGAAAGACGGUCUUGCUGUCACUUAUAGAUGGAUCCGCGCUGCAUUAGCUAGUUGGUAAGGUAACGGCUUACCAAGGCAACGAUGCAUAGCCGACCUGAGAGGGUGAUCAGCCACACUGGAACUGAGACACGGUCCAGACUCCUACGGGAGGCAGCAGUAGGGAAUAUUCCGCAAUGGGCGAAAGCCUGACGGAGCAACGCCGCGUGAGUGAAGAAGGUCUUCGGAUCGUAAAACUCUUUUAUUAGGGAAGAACAUAUGUGUAAGUAACUGUGCACAUCUUGACGGUACCUAAUCAGAAAGCCACGGCUAACUACGUG